This 460-nucleotide long non-coding RNA is filed under the name Phoenix dactylifera (date palm). Its description in RNAcentral is "long non-coding RNA (PDAC_LNC005839)". The record is from RNAcentral. Lineage: Eukaryota; Viridiplantae; Streptophyta; Magnoliopsida; Arecales; Arecaceae.
UUGAGAGGAUCCUGAAGUAUAUAUUGCUAUUAGUUGACAGUCUAUUUAAUGAUCCAAUCUAAUCCACACCAGGAAUGGGCCAUACUUUUCAAGCUCAAUUAGAUCCCACUAGCUCUGAUUCAGAUUUUUUGGGUUUAUUUUCUGCUUACUCUGAGUUUGAAGCAGGUCAUUCCAAUCACUUGCAGCUCUAUGUUCGCAGCUUGAUUCUAAUAGUUUUGGUUCCAAUCUGAUAAUGGUUAUUUCUGAUCAGACUUUGAUUGGAAGCAUAUCAAUCCAAGCACUUGCCAGCCCUUGGCCGCCCAGAAAUUGGUUUUUCAUUCAUUUUCAAUCAUAAGGCUGCCUUCCUUGCUGAAAAUUAGCUAGUCUAAUUCGUAGUGUUUCAAUAGGCUGCACUUUUGAGACGGAGUCCCUCUGUGCAGGUUUUGCAAAGUCUAAGGGUUUAGACCCAAUUCAAGAAGAA